GAUGAACGCUGGCGGCGUGCCUAAUACAUGCAAGUCGAGCGAACAGAUAAGGAGCUUGCUCCUUUGACGUUAGCGGCGGACGGGUGAGUAACACGUGGGUAACCUACCUAUAAGACUGGGAUAACUUCGGGAAACCGGAGCCAAUACCGGAUAAUAUUUCGAACCGCAUGGUUCGAUAUUGGAAGAUGGUUUUGCUAUCUCUUAUAGAUGGACCCGCGCCGUAUUAGCUAGUUGGUAAUGUAACGGCUUACCAAGGCGACGAUACGUAGCCGACCUGAGAGGGUGAUCGGCCACACUGGAACGGAGACACGGUCCAGACUGCUAGGGGAAGCAGCAGGAGGGAAUCGGCCGCAAGGGGCGAAAGCCUGACGGAGCAACGCCGAGUGAGUGAUGAAGGUCGUCGGAUCGGAAAACUCUGUUAUUAGGGAAGAACAUACGUGUAGGUAACUGUGCACGUCUUGACGGUAACUAAUCAGAGAGCCGCGGCUAAAUACGUG
Molecule: ribosomal RNA, 497 nt
Filed under: uncultured bacterium
Lineage: Bacteria
Description: partial 16S ribosomal RNA
Rfam family: Bacterial small subunit ribosomal RNA
Source: RNAcentral